GGGGCACCUUCACCUCGUGUCUCACUGGGAUAUGAACCUUCGAUUUGUUCUUAACUAUUCAAAUUUAAUCGUAAAUGAAUCAUUUAGUUGUACAAACAUUUACUGGAGUUCGAGCUACAGGCUAAUGUGGCUAAUCUGAGCCAUGACAGCUGCCUACUGCCCCCUGGUGUCAGGCUGCAGUUAGGAUCUCAAACCCCUCCUCCUCCAUGUUAGCAGAUGGGACAUGGACCAAACUAAAACAUCAGAGUGGACACUACAUGUGUCUGUCAUUUCAGGUAGUUCCUAUCACACUGAUGUUUGUUCAAGUGUUUCUGAUCAGUGGUGUUUUAAUAGUUAUUUGAUGAUAUCAAAACAAGCUCAGACCUCAUGAUUGACAGCUGAGACUGACUCCUGAUUGGUCGCGCUAGAUUCUCAUAUCCGAGAUAUUCUGUCUUCAUUGUGGGACAGUGGGAGGAGGCGGAGCUAUAGAACAGAUCUUUUCAUCACAAGACUGUUUGGAGGAUUUGUGACGUCAAGUUUCAGGAGCAGGUUUUAGUUUUUGCUGAUCAGCAGCUUCUGAGGAUUCAAGUGAACAGUAGAAUGUUCUCUGUGGAGGUGGAAUCGUUUUCUUUAGUCACUCAGAUUUUUAUCAAAGACCAAAUACAAGAAAAAUAAAGAAGUAGUUGAGCUGUGAUGAGUUAUUCAGCUGUUCUCCGUCUCUCUGUUAGCACAAUGCUAGUUAGUGUUUAUCAGACUGUUAGUCCUGCUGCACAUUCUGGAGGAUCUAGAGAUGAAGGACAGCAGCUUGUCUCAGUUGAAGUGCCGUUGAGCAGGACCCAGAGCCCGGAGCUGUCUGCACUCUGAACCCUGAGGUGACACCACAGGAACCAAAGGAACAAACUUUAAAUGAACUGAUCUCCAGAAAAAUCCACAUCUGGGAUCUAACGUUAUUUUUCAUCUCAGGACGAACAAUCCUCCCGACGUCAAAUUCAUCUCAGAUCAAAGGGACCAUGAAUCUCAAUGAAGAACAAACUCUGGAGAUGAACAGACAGAAAAACCUCGGCCGUGGACCAGAACCAAGAACCACUGACGUCUCCCACAGACCAUCAGGGUGCCUCACCAGCCGGCUCGGGUUGGUUCUGACCCUGAUUCCCAGUUUAUCGUCUGUGGAAGGACCUCACGUCAAACUGGUCUAACAAACAUAUCACUCCCAACAAGAGUCAGACCAGGGUUACGUUUCCAUCCAGGAUGAACUGGAGGCGCUGUGGGAACUUGUCUGGGAAAUGAUGAUCGUUUAGCUUUAAGGGCUUUCUGCUCUUCGUUCCAUUUACGAUAUAAAAGGGGUUCUGAGGGUUCUGAGGUGUUGAGGGUUCUGAGGUGUUGAGGGUUCUGAGGGUUCUGAGGUGUUGAGGGUUCUGAGGGUUCUGAGGGUUCUCAGGUGUUGAGGGUUCUGAGGUGUUGAGGGUUCUGAGGGUUCUGAGGUGUUGAGGGUUCUGAGGUGUUGAGGGUUCUGAGGUGUUGAGGCUCUUGGUUUGUGGAGACGUUUACUGUUUAGAAGUCGAUGCUGAGGGACAAACUGAGACUAUGAACUGUUCUCUUUGCACUGGGUUUAAUGUCUUGUCUGUAUAGAGGGAACUCCACUGAACACAAAUCUAAAGUCCAUAAUGUUCAACACUUUUUGUACAGAAAGAGAUGUGUGGUUGUUUUAUAUGGUUGUAUUUAUCUUAAAGGAAUAGUUGAACAUCUUAGUGAAUAAACUGUGUGUUUUCAUGCAGAGAUGGAGAUCAGAUCCAAAUCCCUCUCAUGUGAGUUCAGUAGGAAAUCUGUUGUAAAUAAGUCAGAUACAAGAUGUAAGUGUAAAUUUAAAAGAGGGCGGAGUCUUUAUGCUAAGCUAAGCUAUCUGCCUCCAGCUCGGAUGUUCUCCCUCUCAACAAUAAAGUGAAUAAGAAAAGUUACUUCUCCUCUAAAGAUGUGAGUCUCUAUUAUAAUGUAAACUUUAAAAAACAGAGGAUUUUUGUUGGAUCUGUUCCAUGAACAUGAAACUGCUCCACACCAGAGUCAUGUUCCUUCAUUACUGGAAGUUCACAUCAGGCUCUGUGGUUUGUGCAGAUAAACCAGUUGUGUCCAGGUCUCUGUGUUUAUGUAGCAUCUCUCCUGUAAGACUUCUGUAUACAGACUUUCUCCUCGAGGACUGAUCCUGCAUCUGUUCUGCGUUAGCUGUGCAGACAAUACUUUCUUCUACAUGAAACAGUAGAAGAAAAUGGAGCGUUCUGCCCAGUGAAACCAGUUCUACUCACCACAUCGUUCCUUGUGGCUGAAAACAGAGGAACAUUCGACUUUCCAAACAUUUCCUCUGGAGGACCGAGCCGCAGGCCAGCAGCAGUUCAAGCUUCAAGCAUUAAAACAUAUUUCUGCAUUUGACAUUCUUCUCUGUUGACACCAAACAGUCUUGUUUCCAUUUUAAUUGACCGUGACACACAAAGAACAUCAGAGACAGGCGUUUCUGGAGCCGUGCAAUAACUCUGGGCUUUUGGUAAUAAUUAUCAGAAGGAAAAAAAUGAAACACCCAAGAUUUUGGGAUUAAAACAAAGAACAUUUUCUCAGCAGUCGUAUAACGACAAAUUAAAACCAGGAGUUCCCCAGAAGCGUCACUGUGAUUCUUCUGAACAUGUCUGACAGGGAGCGUUUAUAUAUUUCCUCUAUAAGUGUAGAAAAUUGUUUUGUUUUUGUUUGUAUUUGAAACGUGUGGGUUGGUUGUACAUGGAUCUGUUUUGUUUCAUAAAGUUUUCCACAGAAUAAACAAUCAAUAAGUGUU
Pleuronectes platessa (European plaice) is the source of this 2794-nucleotide long non-coding RNA. RefSeq lists it as uncharacterized. The transcript has 3 exons. The record is from RefSeq and is a predicted model, not a curated record. Lineage: Eukaryota; Metazoa; Chordata; Actinopteri; Pleuronectiformes; Pleuronectidae.